Molecule: non-coding RNA, 99 nt
Organism: Vigna radiata var. radiata (mung bean)
Lineage: Eukaryota; Viridiplantae; Streptophyta; Magnoliopsida; Fabales; Fabaceae
Source: Rfam
AUGUCUUGCAUGAGCCAAGGAUGACUUGCCGGCUAAACUAAGAACUAUGAUCUCUUUUUAGGGUUUUGCUGGCGAGACAUCUUGGCUCACUUGUGUUCU